Molecule: transfer RNA, 73 nt
Filed under: Camelus bactrianus (Bactrian camel)
Lineage: Eukaryota; Metazoa; Chordata; Mammalia; Artiodactyla; Camelidae
Also listed under: 2 other names
Rfam family: tRNA
About the family: Transfer RNA (tRNA) molecules are approximately 80 nucleotides in length. Their secondary structure includes four short double-helical elements and three loops (D, anti-codon, and T loops).
Source: Rfam by way of RNAcentral
GAGGGUACAGCUCCAGCGGUAGAGCACAUGCUUAGCAUGCAUGAGGUCCUGGGUUCAAUCCCCAGUACCUUCU